UGGGGAAUCUUGCGCAAUGGACGAAAGUCUGACGCAGCAACGCCGCGUGAAGGAUGAAGUAUUUCGGUAUGUAAACUUCGAAAGAAUAGGAAGAAUAAAUGACGGUACUAUUUAUAAGGUCCGGCUAACUACGUGCCAGCAGCCGCGGUAAUACGUAGGGACCAAGCGUUGUUCGGAUUUACUGGGCGUAAAGGGCGCGUAGGCGGCAUGACAAGUCACUUGUGAAAUCUCUGGGCUUAACCCAGAACGGCCAAGUGAUACUGUCGCGCUAGAGUGCAGAAGGGGCAAUCGGAAUUCUUGGUGUAGCGGUGAAAUGCGUAGAUAUCAAGAGGAACACCUGAGGUGAAGACGGGUUGCUGGGCUGACACUGACGCUGAGGCGCGAAAGCCAGGGGAGCAAACGGGAUUAGAUACCCAAGUAGUCCCUGAGCGGGCUGGCAAGGCGCAU
RNAcentral lists this ribosomal RNA (447 nucleotides) under uncultured bacterium. Its description in RNAcentral is "bacterial SSU rRNA". It matches the Rfam family "Bacterial small subunit ribosomal RNA", at positions 355 to 825 of the family's 1533-position model. The record is from RNAcentral.